Molecule: ribosomal RNA, 446 nt
Filed under: uncultured bacterium
Lineage: Bacteria
Description: bacterial SSU rRNA
Rfam family: Bacterial small subunit ribosomal RNA
Source: RNAcentral
UGCCAGACUCCUACGGGAGGCAGCAGUGGGGAAUAUUGCACAAUGGGGGAAACCCUGAUGCAGCGACGCCGCGUGAGCGAUGAAGUAUUUCGGUAUGUAAAGCUCUCUCAGCAGGGAAGAAGAUGACGGUGCCUGACUAAGAAGCCCCGGCUAACUACGUGCCAGCAGCCGCGGUAAUACGUAGGGGGCAAGCGUUAUCCGGAUUUACUGGGUGUAAAGGGAGCGUAGACGGCGAUGCAAGCCAGAUGUGAAAGCCCGGGGCUCAACCCCGGGACUGCAUUUGGAACUGUGUGGCUGGAGUGUCGGAGGGGCAGGCGGAAUUCCUGGUGUAGCGGUGAAAUGCGUAGAUAUCAGGAGGAACACCGGUGGCGAAGGCGGCCUGCUGGACUGCAACUGACGUUGAGGCCCGAAAGCGUGGGGAGCAAACAGGAUUAGAUACCCUAGUA